GAUUUGUUUGGAUUCAGUCAACGAAAUUUCUGCAGUCCGCCAUGACAGUCCGCGUUCUAAUUUUCUUCUGGAGCCUUGCCGUCGCGGAAAAUUGCCGGAAAGCGACUAAGUUUAGUGCGAAAGUGUACGCGAGUGAUCACGAUUCACGAAGCGCAGGACAGAAGCAUUCUGAGCGACACGGUCGCUCCACCGGCUACAGAUGAUUCCUCUCCCGCACCUCCGGAUGGUGCUAAGGAAGUGCAGAAGAUGCACUCUUUCUAUCAGGUGUUGCGUCAACGGAUUUGCCCGUACGGAGGUAGUUUGUAUGCUAUUCAGAAGCUGGAUUAUGUGGCCCAUGAAGACAUCUUGCCGUAUAGUUCCGGCGAACAGCAGCACUGCAGCUUGAGUUCGAUUGGUUUGUAGGCUGCCGGCAUAGCUGAAGAAGAAAUCACCGAAGGCGGUCACCCGUAUGCACACAUGGGAUAUCACGAGAAGCCAGCUGGUGCAUUGGAUCGGCACGAGAAACUUGAUCGAGCUCCGCGGUUUAUUUCACUGUGUACUGAGGGAUGCUUAUCACUACCGGAAGUGCUUUCAGGCUUGUAUUUUUUGGCUCUGCCCACUGAGAGUCCUUGGACUACACCACCUGAAGCGUCUCAGCCGUUAUCCUGUAUCAUUUAGAAUAUUAUUAAUGCAAUAAAAAUUGUAAUAAAUAAUUUA
Aedes aegypti (yellow fever mosquito) is the source of this 696-nucleotide long non-coding RNA. RefSeq lists it as uncharacterized. The transcript is spliced from 2 exons. Lineage: Eukaryota; Metazoa; Arthropoda; Insecta; Diptera; Culicidae. The record is from RefSeq and is a predicted model, not a curated record.